AUGUCUCUUCUCAGUGAAACCCAUCCUCAAGCCAGUCAGGAUAGAAGACGUCCCAUGCAACCCUCACUUAACAACCUUCACUUAACAAUACUGCAUUUUGUAUGGAGUGGAACUGCUCCAGGCUGCGAGAUUGAGAGGAGCCCAAACAGGAAAACUCAACAGCCUAAUGGAACAGCGUUUGAGAAGCCAAGGGGAAUUUCACUGACUUGCCACGAGCGAGCAGAUGGGUUGCAGACUGAUGUCAGGAAUAUGCUUUGCCUUGAUAAAAUGAAAAAGACCCCGCCACACAUCACCCCUGGGAUCCACUCCGGUCCCUCGGCCUGACCCUACUCCUCUGCCCAGUGCCAGAUCACACGUCUGAUUCGGGGCUCAAGACAAACAAACGUAGCAACAAACUGGCAGGGAAGUCGACCUCUUUUCGGCUGGAUUUCUCUGCGGAGGGGUCGGGUGCGGAGCACAGCGGGAAGGAGCGAGCGGGAUCGGGGCUCGAGCCCCGCACAGAAAUGCGGCCAGACGCUAAUGCGGGUGAUCGGCGACGGGGGACACCGCUUUCCUACAUCCAUGCACGCAGUUAGGAGUCCGCCCCCCACAAAACCUCGCUGCCUAGUUACACUGGCCCGAGAACGGAGCCUGGAGGGAAGAAACGCUGAGAAACGGCGUUUAUGAUAUCUUCAACCGUGAGAAGCGUUUUGCCCUUGUCCCGAGCGGGGUUUUUUUGCUCCUCUCCCUCGCACAAACACGCGCACUCAUAAGACGAGCAGGGGACUUCCAUAUUGCCCCCAAACCCUGGGACUCUGUCCACAAACUACCAGCCAACUCCGGGAAGAGGAGCAGCAGCAACGCACUUUGCUAAAGGAGUUAUACAAAUCCGAAACGUAUUGCUGGGGAGGGGGGGGGGGUUGGUUUGUUGGUUUUUUUGAUCGAGAGAAAAAAAAUCUAUCUCGGUGCUUUUCAG
This 955-nucleotide long non-coding RNA is filed under the name Crocodylus porosus (Australian saltwater crocodile). Its description in RNAcentral is "lncRNA (ENSCPRG00005006815.1)". The record is from RNAcentral. Lineage: Eukaryota; Metazoa; Chordata; Crocodylia; Crocodylidae.